RNAcentral lists this long non-coding RNA (2701 nucleotides) under Homo sapiens (human). RNAcentral describes it as "HSALNT0384124". The record is from RNAcentral. Lineage: Eukaryota; Metazoa; Chordata; Mammalia; Primates; Hominidae.
CUUUCCACUCACUCCUUGUCAGCUGCACCUGGUCUCUCCCUCCCCCUCUUUCCUUACCCUGCUUUCCACUCUGUUCACCUUCCUGGCUCUCUCUCUCCUCUGGCCCUGGCAUCUCUCAAGCCUUUCUCCUUGCAUCCGUGUCUCCUUCCUGCCUCCCUUCCCCUCUAGCUCUUUCCCCCUCUCACCCCAGCCCCUUUCUGACCUGUGCCCAGGGGACGGACACAUAGACACUGCCUGCGCGUGGGCCUCCUCCCUUCUCCCUCCCGUCAGAGCUGCCAGCUCCACUCACCAGCUUCCCGUCCAGCCUGCCUUCCGGGGACCAGGACCGGCUCCUCGAGGGAGGCACAGACCUGAGCCCCUCGGCUCUGGACGCUGCUGCCGCUGGUGUGCCCUCCCCUGACCUCCUGCGGCAGGAACAACACAAAACGGUGCUUCCCCAGAGGCAAGCAGCGGAGGACGAGGAGAUGGGAGAACACGGAGGCGAGAGGGAGCAGGCGAUGGCGACGCCGACGAUAAGGAAACUGAGGCAGCUUAGGGCGGUUAAGUGACUUGCCCGAGAUUGCUGGGUUUCCUCUCCAUUCCAGCUUUUCUGCCUUUCUGAAGAGCCAGCUCACUGCCCUGGAUACCCAAGGGUAGCCAUGGGCCCUGCCCAAGAUGCCGCUAUCCCUGAGACAGGGUGGCCAGGAAGAGAGCCCCGAGGAGAAGGACCUGGUAGGAGCAGGGGGAAGCCCUGAGGAGCUGGGUGAAGAUUUCCUGGCACAAGUCCUGGGGAAGGGCCCCAGACAGCAGUUCCUCAAUUCCCAGGGUAUAGAGGGUGGAGUCUCUGAAAGGCCACGGGGUGGAGACCCUGGCAUGAUUCAACAUUCACUCAACAAAAUAUUUAUUGAGCGCCUGCCAAUGCUAGACCCACAUGCUGGCCAGCAUCCCUGCCUGUGCAAGCUCUGGAUGAGCUGUGUGCCCCUGCCACCCACACCCCCACUCCCUGCCAGCCUGGCCUCAGGGCCUCUGAUCCAUGUGCACUGGAGUGGUGAUGACUGACAGGGCCACUGGGGCAUUUCCAUGUUAACAGCAGCUGCCACUGGCAAAAGAAGUGACUCGCCAAUGGUGGCAUCUCAGAUGUGGGCCCAGGAGUCUGGGGAGCUACUUUGAACAGGGCUAUCCAUUCAUUGUCCCACCAAAGGCUAUGGAGCCCACCCACCAUGUGCUGGAGUAGUCAAGGGAAAUAAGACACUCUCCUUGUCCUUGUUAACUCAAUCAACAAGCAUUUGCAGAGCACCGCCUGUAUGCCGGCGCUGUCCGAAGUGCUGAAGAUACAGCAAUGAGCAAACCAAAAGCCAUGGACAUCGGAUGAAACAGAGAAUUGUAAACAAUAAGUACAUCAUUUAGCUCUAUGGAAAACAGGAUAGAGAUUUCUCAAAGAACUAAAACUAGAACUACCAUUCAACCAGCAAUCCCACCACUGGGCAUCCACCCAAAGGAAAAGAAGUCAUUUAAUCAAAGAGACACCUGCACUCGUGUGUUCAUCGCAGCAACACUGUUCACAACAGCAAAGCCAUGAAAUCAACCUAAGUGUCCAUCAACAGAUGAUGGAUAAAGAAAAUGUGGUGAAUAUAUACACAGUGGGAUACUACGAAGCCAUAAAAAAGAACACAAAACCAUGUCUUUUGCAGCAAUGUGGAUGGAACUGGAGGCCAUUAUCUUAAGCGGAACAAGUCAAACACAGAAAGACAAAGAUUGCAUGUUCUUAUUUAUUUAUUUACUGAGAUGGAGUCUCACUGUGUCACCAGGCUGGAGUGCAGCGGUGCAAUCUUGGCUCACUGCAGCCUCCACCUCCCGAGUUCAAGCAAUUCUCCUGCCUCAGCCUCCCAAGCAAUUCUCCUGCCUCAGCCUCCCACAUAGCUGGAACUACAGGCACGUGCCACCACACCCAGCUAAUUUUUGUAUUUUUAGUAGAGGCAGGGUUUCAGCAUGUUUGUCAGGAUGGUCUCAAUCUUUUUACCUCAUGAUCUGCCAGACUUGGCCUCCCAAAAGGCUGGGAUUACAGGCAUGAGCCAGUGUGCCCAGCCUUUUUUUUUUUUUUUUUUUUUUUUUGAGGCAGAGUCUUGCUCUGUUGCCCAGGCUGGAGUGCAGUGGCGCAAUCUGGGCUCACUGCAACCUCUGCCUCCCGGGUUCAAGUGAUUCUCCUGCCUCUGCCUCCUGAGUAGCUGCAAUUACAUGUGCACACCACCAUGCCCAGCUAUUUUUUAUAUUUUUAGUAGAGACGGGGUUUCACCAUAUUGGUCAGGCUCGUCUCGAACUCCUGACCUCAGGUGAUCUACCUGCCUUAGCCUCUUAAGCAUGUUCUCAUGUAUAAGUGGGAGCAAAGCAGCCGGACGCAGUGGCUCACGCCUGUAAUCCCAGCACUUUGGGAGGCCAAGGCGGGCAGAUCACGAGGUCAGGAGGAGCUAGAGACCAUCCUGGCUAACAUGGUGAAACCCUGUCUCUACUAAAAAUACAAAAAAUUAGCCGGGUGUGGUGGCGGGCGCCUGUAGUCCCAGCUACUUUGGAGGCUGAGGCAAAAGAAUGGCGUGAACCUGGUAGGCGGAGCUUGCAGUGAGCUGAGAUCGUGCCACUGCACUCCAGCCUGGGCGACAGAGCGAGACUCCAUCUCAAAAAAAAUAAAAUAAAAUAAGUGGGAGCAAAGCAAUGUGCACCUGUGGCC